RNAcentral lists this ribosomal RNA (253 nucleotides) under uncultured bacterium. RNAcentral's name for it is "partial 16S ribosomal RNA". It matches the Rfam family "Bacterial small subunit ribosomal RNA", at positions 524 to 776 of the family's 1533-position model. The record is from RNAcentral.
UACGUAGGGGGCAAGCGUUGUCCGGAAUCAUUGGGCGUAAAGAGCGUGUAGGCGGCCAGAAAAGUCCGCUGUGAAAACUCGAGGCUCAACUUCGAGCUGUCGGUGGAAACUUUCUGGCUAGAGUCCGGAAGAGGAGAGUGGAAUUCCUGGUGUAGCGGUGAAAUGCGCAGAUAUCAGGAAGAACACCCGUGGCGAAGGCGGUUCUCUGGGACGGUACUGACGCUGAGACGCGAAAGCGUGGGGAGCGAACAGG